AAUAGGUGUGUGCAGGAAUACAGUUACCUACCUUAUCAAAAUAGAUAAGCGCUAAACGUCCGGGAGCUAACUUCACAGACAUUCAAUUGUUUUUGUAAAUCAUUGUGCUUAAAGUUGUAUGUAGCAGUUCCAUUCAUUGUUUACAUCGUACACUUUUUUAAUAAAAUAAAUAUCAAGCAGUAAAGAUAUUUGGAACAAUGAAAAAACAUUACGAUACAAUGAAAUGUUUCGUAAGGAACAUGUGUCAUAGGAUCAUAAAAAUCCGAUUUCGCAGCGACAAGUCGAAAGUAAAACGAAGUCAUAAAUGAACUGCAACAGGCAGGGAUCAAGUUUACGAGUAUACAAUAUUUAUGGUUCGAAUUUAAAUCUUAAUCAUUAUUUAUGGACAAAAAUACACCACAUUCUACACUGAGUAGUUUCUGUACCCAGAAGUGAAACACCGAUUGUUGGACAAGAUGAGUAUUCCGCAUUCACAUCUCAUACUUUCAAUCAAGAUUUUAAUGACAAAAACAAAAAUUCAUCUACUACGCUUAAUUUACACAUAAAACUCCAGCAAAAAAAAAUAAGUUGACAAUGAAGAUAAUAUUUAUUUUCUCUGCCGUACCAGCGACAACCAGUGAGGAUAAAAAUCAAAGUUAUGGAAUUUAUUUAGGGAACAAACUAUGGCUUUAUAGUGCAACAGCACUGAGUGCAAUUCAAUAUGUAUUUGGUUAUAAUAUUUUUAGAGCCGACCGAGACAUAUUUGAAAUAAAAUUUGCUACAGAAUAUAAACAUUAUAUUAUACUAUUUACCAUAACAAUUUUCUAUUUCUGUAUUUACUCUUCACUCUCCACUGGUUUUGCUAUUCUUAAUUCUGUACCCUCUCAACAAGUACAAUCAACUGUAAUUUACACCAGUUUGAGUUCACUUAUUAUUUUUUACAUUCAUUUCCAAUAUCAAUUGUAAACCAUACAUUU
Molecule: long non-coding RNA, 956 nt
Organism: Acyrthosiphon pisum (pea aphid)
Lineage: Eukaryota; Metazoa; Arthropoda; Insecta; Hemiptera; Aphididae
Exons: 3
Source: RefSeq, a predicted model, not a curated record